AUUGAACGCUGGCGGCAGGCCUAACACAUGCAAGUCGAGCGGAUGAAGGGAGCUUGCUCCUGGAUUCAGCGGCGGACGGGUGAGUAAUGCCUAGGAAUCUGCCUGGUAGUGGGGGAUAACGUCCGGAAACGGGCGCUAAUACCGCAUACGGCCUGAGGGAGAAAGUGGGGGAUCUUCGGACCUCACGCUAUCAGAUGAGCCUAGGUCGGAUUAGCUAGUUGGUGGGGUAAAGGCCUACCAAGGCGACGAUCCGUAACUGGUCUGAGAGGAUGAUCAGUCACACUGGAACUGAGACACGGUCCCGACUCCUACGGGAGGCAGCAGUGGGGAAUAUUGGACAAUGGGCGAAAGCCUUGUCCAGCCAUGCCGCGUGUGUGAAGAAGGUCUUCGGAUUGUAAAGCACUUUAAGUUGGGAGGAAGGGCAGUAAGUUAAUACCUUGCUGUUUUGACGUUACCAACAGAAUAAGCACCGGCUAACUUCGUG
Molecule: ribosomal RNA, 484 nt
Filed under: uncultured bacterium
Lineage: Bacteria
Description: partial 16S ribosomal RNA
Rfam family: Bacterial small subunit ribosomal RNA
Source: RNAcentral